Molecule: ribosomal RNA, 776 nt
Filed under: uncultured Neocallimastigales
Lineage: Eukaryota; Fungi; Neocallimastigomycota; Neocallimastigomycetes; Neocallimastigales
Description: partial large subunit ribosomal RNA
Rfam family: Eukaryotic large subunit ribosomal RNA
Source: RNAcentral
AGAGAGAGACAUGCGCGCAUAUCAAUAAGCGGAGGAAAAGAAACUAACAAGGAUUCCCUUAGUAACGGCGAGUGAAGCGGGAAGAGCUCAAAUUUGAAAUCUUCAAGGUUUUACCUUGACGAGUUGUAGUUUAAAGAAGUGCUUUCUGCUGAAGUUUUGGUAAAAGUUCCUUGGAAUAGGACAUCAUAGAGGGUGAGAAUCCCGUAUUUGACCAUUAUUUUCAGCUUUGUGAUACACUUUCAAAGAGUCGGGAUUGUUUGGGAAUGCAGUCCAAAAUGGGUGGUAAAUUUCAUCUAAAGCUAAAUAUUGGCGAGAGACCGAUAGCGAACAAGUACCGUGAGGGAAAGAUGAAAAGAACUUUGAAAAGAGAGUUAAACAGUACGUGAAAUUGUCAAAAGGGAAGCGUUUGACACCAGUGUUGUUUUCUCGAAAAUCAAUUAAAAAUGGCUCGAUUUUGUAUUGUUGAGACCUUAAAAGCUCACUGUACAUUUUUCGUGUCUUUUUUAAUGCACUUUUCGUUUAACAAGUCAACAUCAGUUUCUUUUGUUGUAAAAGGGUCAUUGGAAGGUGGCUUUCUUUUCGGAGAAAGUGUUUAUAGCCUUUGGCCUCUGCAAUCGGAGAGAUUGAGGUCUGCAGCGUAGAUCCUUCGGGGUUAGAUACAUUUGUGCUAAGUUAUAGCCUUUUCAUAGACAACUUGUUGACUAUAAUCAGUCAUGUAGCUUACUCGCUUAUGCUAUUUUACCUACGCUUAGGAUGUUGAAGAUGUAGCACAUCAU